Molecule: ribosomal RNA, 496 nt
Filed under: uncultured bacterium
Lineage: Bacteria
Description: partial 16S ribosomal RNA
Rfam family: Bacterial small subunit ribosomal RNA
Source: RNAcentral
GAUGAACGCUGGCGGCGUGCCUAAUACAUGCAAGUCGAGCGAACAGACGAGGAGCUUGCUCCUCUGACGUUAGCGGCGGACGGGUGAGUAACACGUGGAUAACCUACCUAUAAGACUGGGAUAACUUCGGGAAACCGGAGCUAAUACCGGAUAAUAUAUUGAACCGCAUGGUUCAAUAGUGAAAGACGGUUUUGCUGUCACUUGUAGAUGGAUCCGCGCCGCAUUAGCUAGUUGGUAAGGUAACGGCUUACCAAGGCAACGAUGCGUAGCCGACCUGAGAGGGUGAUCGGCCACACUGGAACUGAGACACGGUCCAGACUCCUACGGGAGGCAGCAGUAGGGAAUCUGCCGCAAUGGGCGAAAGCCUGACGGAGCAACGCCGCGUGAGUGAUGAAGGUCUGCGGAUCGUAAAACUCUGUUAUUAGGGAAGAACAAAUGUGUAAGUAACGAUGCACGUCUUGACGGUACCUAAUCAGAAAGCCACGGCUAACUACGU